This 2038-nucleotide long non-coding RNA is filed under the name Haliotis rufescens (red abalone). RNAcentral describes it as "uncharacterized LOC125379987". The record is from RNAcentral. Lineage: Eukaryota; Metazoa; Mollusca; Gastropoda; Lepetellida; Haliotidae.
UACAACAACGCUGUGUGGAUACAAGAAUUUCGGGGCUCCGAGGCCGGCAUCAGUUACAUCCUACAGACGACGUACGACCACAUGCCGGUGUUUGAGACGAUCUACGGAGACCGUGACGGAGGGUAUGUAUUCUCCAACUCUGCCUUCGUCAACACGACGUUAGGUAUCAAGAACCCGGAUGUGUUUACCCCGCCCCCUAGCUGCAAGGGAGCGAACUACGAGCCUCCUGUUUCAAGAAGACUUGGGUUUAUGACGUUCUGACGUUCUGAGAUAUUGAUCGUAUAAUUGCCUUAGAGACUUGUGCAAGUCUAAUACCAGAUACAUUUCAUCCAAUAUACUAUGUAUGUGUAAGUAUGCAUGUACGCAUUAACCUCUUAGCGUCUCUGUGACCGGUAUGCCAAUGUGUUACUUUAAGUUCAUAGAACAUAUAUAUGCUAAUUUAAUAUUUUACUUUGACAAUGUAUAUUUGAAAAAGAAUUGUUUACACCUGACCGACCGUUCAGCAUUUUGAGUGUGUCACCGUGCGUGCGUGGUCGGGGAUUAGAGGGGGCAUUAGGAUUUUUUUUUUAUGGAAAUACGAUAUUUUUUCAGUCUAAACCUUCAGGGCAUCCAGCGUACAAUUUAUUUCGUUUGACAUUUUGUUUUGAGUAUGAACCGAAUCCCUCCAAGAAUAUCAAAUGGUCGGUUAGUUACGUCUUCAUUUGGGAUGCGACAGAAUAGCACAGUUUUCUCGGAAUUAAUAACUGCUUGGCAAAUUAUCUUCCAGGUUCAUGACUAGUGUGACUGUUACCUAACAUGUAUUUGUAUGAAAUGUAUAUGCUUCAAGUUAAUCGUAAUGACGUCAAACAAUUUGUAUGACGUCAUCGUGACAUCAGAGUAUGGUAUCAGAUAUCACGUAACGACGGUGUACCCUGGCUAUGCGCAUCGCCACCAGCAAGCACUGCUCAAACUUUGAGGGCGGAUGUCGGAUAUAUAGCCGUUUGGAACUCGCGGCUAAUUAUAUGGUUUAAAGGUGCACGUGCUGAAUGGUGCACAUGCCAGACACCAGAAGGUCGCAGGGGUCAGUACGGAACUGUGUUUCUGUUGAUGACCACGCGAUGUAGGGCUCCUUAGAAACAGGCACGUUUGUGUUUGAUGCUGGGUGGUGUUUGUUGAUAUUUAUACCUCGAAUGGAGGAUUGGUUUUGCCUGGAGGACGUUAUGUGAAUAUUUCUUCGUCGUAGGGAGAAAAUGCGAAUUCUUAACAAGCUGUAGUAUCGAUAGCAAAUGGCGCCUCUCAUCAGGAGGCCAUACUGUACUUGAUCUUUUCUAUAGGGUCUGGAUGUUUAACAAAGCUCUGGUUCAAAGGUUGAAUGGCAUUACAUGCAAUAGAGAAAUCACGAGGAUCUGCUGAUUCCUGGUUCUACUACCGGAAUCAACAUAUUCGAGUGGUUCUGUUACUUAAACCGUGAUAUGGUUGAUGUUUAAUUUCUGUAUACGUUUGCUUAAUGAUUACAGUUGCAUCUGUUUCACGUGUUUAAAAUGCCAGUCAGAAUUGCGUGUAAAUUCCUGGCUCAGAAUCAAUUGCAAGAACAUUAGCGUGACGUAGUCGUUGAUGGUUUAAACUUAGUGAAUUUAAUUUGAAAAUGGUCUUUUCAUCCUGACUUAUCGUGACAGACAUUAAGACUAAAAGGUGACGGAUGGAAUUGUUUGUUUAACUCGCAUUUUUUAUUCGAGUAGUUAGAAGAUUAAUAAGACGCCAUUGGAAACGGUGCUAUGAGACUGACAUGCGCUAUUUUAUCAGACACAGGUUAUACCCAAACAUACCUCUAUGAAUUAAAAACUGUUAAACAAAAAUACAUGAAUAUUAAAUUUUGUGAAAAUGGCAUCAUUGUCGAUGUUUUCUUUACACAACAAAACGAACAAGUAAAAAGGAAACGAGUUGCUUUGUUUGACACCCGGUGUGAGUGACAAGGUGACAACACGCCGCGAAUAUUGACGACUGACCUGUUUGACCUUGACGUAGAUGCAGACGACAUAAUACUAUAGUGACGGACUUC